Molecule: long non-coding RNA, 3657 nt
Filed under: Sus scrofa (pig)
Lineage: Eukaryota; Metazoa; Chordata; Mammalia; Artiodactyla; Suidae
Description: lncRNA (ENSSSCG00050057300.1)
Source: RNAcentral
CUAGGCGCUGGUGUUCUGGUGGCCCCAGCUAAGAAUUUGGAAGGGUGAAAAGAAAGUUAUUUUUUCUCCCUUACACUGGUAAAAUGAUAGCUGCAAGGAUGUCUGUCACGGGACAAUAAAGUGAAAAAUUUACCAUUCACUAUCUCCAAACUAUUUAGAGGUAUAGGGAGGGCAUUGCUCACAUGAGGAUUGAACACCAGCUUCAGGGUCCCAGUUUGUUAAGGAAAUCGAAGGGUGUGAUCAACAGCUCGUGCACUGCCGUGCUGCGAACCCAGAGUUCAGGCACUGACGUGGCGCUUCUGAUGGGUAGGUACGUGAUGUAACCCUCACUUGUGCUUUGAUUCUGUUACCCGCUUCCACACAAUGGGCUCCCCGCUCAAGGCAGGUGCCUCACUGAAUUUCCCGUGUUAGUGUCUGGUUGGCACUGUGUCUGUCCAUCUAUAUUCAGUUGCUGUAAUUGUUUACUGUGACGAUCAGGAGAGUUCUUGCCCAUGCGAUUGCGUUAUCAGCCUACUUGGUGAGCUCCGAUACCCCUGAGCUCAGUUUAGCUCAAAGCCCAGAAAAGCCUUUGUUUUAACUAGAGCCGAUUCUGCACAUCUGAGAGGUGUGGCACAUAACUCCCGGGCAUGUUUGGGGUUUUAAUCCAGUUUAUACUGGUGCCGUGGAGGGUACGGUCUUAAUGCUCAAGACUGAGCCAAGGCAGGGCUCUUUCAUUAACCUGAGACCUUUAAAAACUACCAAAGUAGCCUGGUACUUUGAUAUCCCUAGAGGUAGGACAGAAUUUCAGGUGAUCCUCUUUGUCCCCCUGGAUUGCUGUGGAAAGGACCUUCUGUCAUCCUGCAUUGGAAUCUCUGAAGGAAGAUGCGAAACUUCCCUUGCGAAAGGUACUUUGCUCUUAGAGCACCUCCUACUUAAGCUGUUUUAUUUAUACCUAAUUGAAGUCUCUGUGGGGAAGGAUCAAGCGUAAACUCAGUGGUCAUUGCUUUACAAGAGGACUAGAGCCGUUAAAUGCCAGAAUGCCCAUUCUCUGUUAUUCUUCUGCUCUACAGCACAGGGUGGGCUCUGAGCCAAACUGAAAGACAAAUAGCUUACUAUUGUUUACGAUGUGUGUGUGAGAGAGAGAUUUUAAUAGGAAUCCUUACAUAGGUGAUUUAUAAACGUAUACAAGGUUGACGAGGGGGUCACGAGGGGCUGUUUUCCCGUAGUUGUACUGGCUGAUCACCUCUUAGGGACCGUAUCAUUGGCACACUCUCCUGGUGAUGUGGGCGAGGGGGUCAGGGUUCAGCAGACACUGGCUUCGUGUGCUGUGUGCCAGGUUCUUAGGAUGACUGUGUCCUGUGAAGCAGCAGUUGGGGCAGGGAGAGAUGAGGAGACCAGUGAGAGCCAUUUAUGACCUCAUCAACCUGCCACCUCUGAUUUUGAACNCCUAUAUACAGAAAUUAGCAGGUACUUCAGGAAAUUGGAGGAAACCUGAGGACCUCUCUCUUAAGAGUACCUGGACUUAGGGAGCUCAGUGUCUCAUUGAGUUUCACAUAUGUGUGAUUCUAGUGCCUUCCAUCAUUCAGAUCCUCUCAGGCCCUUGCCUGAUAUUCUCCAGUGAUUUCCCAUUGCACUUGAUUAUGAAAAUAAUUAGCAAGCAUUGACAGCAGUGAGCAAGAUAAGGCUAUUCUUUGCCUUCAUCACGUAAUAUGAUUUCUCUUUUGUUACUUUGCCCUAAACACACAGGUUUUUUUCCCUUUAAGUUCUUUUUUUGGGGGGCGGGGGUGCACGUGCGCAGCACAUGAAUGUUGCCAGGCUAGGGGUCCAAUCAGAGCUAUAGCUGCCACCUACGCCACAGCCACAGAAAUGCCAGAUCCCAGCUGCAUCUGUGACCUACACCACGGCUCACGGCAACACCAGAUCCUUAACCCACUGAGCGAGGCCAGGGAUCGAAUCUGCAACCUCACAGUUCCUAGUUGGAUUUUUUUUCGCUGCUCCACGACGGGAACUCUGUUUUGAGCUUUUCCAGAAGAUAAAAUGCCCUGUUUCAAGGGUACAGUUUGCUAAGUAUUGACAUAAAUUUCACUUGAGUGAUGAUUACCACACUCAAAUAAUAAACACAUUCAUCACACCCAUAAAUUUUUGGUUCAGAACUAUAUAUGCUCCAAAGACAUUUUUUAGUCAUUUAUUUCACGUUUAAAUAGGGAUAAUUUAAUUUUUUUUUUUUAGGGCCACACCCACAACACAUGGAGGUUCUCAGGCUAGGGAUCAAAUUGGAGCUUCAGCUGCCGGUCUACCCGGCACCCACAGCAACUUGGGAUCCAAGCUGCGUCUGUGAUGUACACCACAGUUCACAGCAAUGCUGGAUCCUUAACCCACUAAGUGAGGCUAGGGAUUGAACCCACAACCUCCUGGUUCCUAGUCGGAUUCCUUUCUGCUGUACUACGAUGGGAACUGCAGGACAAUUCUUAAUAAUAAAGACAGUUAUUAUAUAUGUUGGGGGAGAAACUUGUUUCUGGUACAUUUGAAUGUGCCUGAGAAAUUUCUUAUGUUUUCGAUAUGUUCCACCCCAGAUAGAAUGUUACUUAAGUACAACCUUUCAUAGCAAUCUCAUAUUUUCAAGUGUUACUAUAUAAUCCUCAUCAGUGAUUUUGUUUAAUGACUAAUCAUUGUAAUUAUGGAGUCUCUGGCACAUUUCUACCCAUACUAAAUCAUGAAAGAAAUUGCAUAGAAUUCUCUAAUCAUAAAAGUUGAAAAAUAUUGGAGUCAUUUUAAAAUGGUAAGAAUGGGUUUAAAAUAUAUUCGUGGACACUUGGCUAUGGUCCUCAACAAGCCUACUGUUGAAUUCACUAAGUUAGUUGAAUUCAGUUAGGAAGAGUAUGUGUGGUAGCUUCUGAAUUAUGUGUGGAAUAGGCCAGUUUCUCUUUAGUGGCAGUGACAUAAAUGGUAAUUACAAAACAGUUUCAUGUAUUGUAGGAAAGUUUUCCUUAAUCUUCUAAUCCUUCCUGUCUAGGUCCAAAAGUGAAACUGUCUGACAACCACAGAUUAACAGAAGGACGACAUACAAAUUUAUUUGAUGUUUUAUGUGACAUGGGAUCCUUUACAUGGAAAUGAAGACCUGAUGAAACAGACUUGGGUAUUUUAUGCUAGGUUUGAUAAAGAGUGGACAAUCACGGAAGACUAUGAUAGGUUAAGAAGUAUUAGGUAAUUGUAGUAAAUGGGGAUCAUCUUAACAAAAUCUAUUUUUUUUCAGAUUAUUGACAUCCUUUCUAAUUCAGAGAUAAAGUUGCUCCUUUCCUCCCAGUAUAGGGAGAGUGCCUGUCACAUGAGGGUUUUAUUACCUGUUUCAGGGGAGAAAGACAAGUGAGGGAGAAGGUCAAAGACACCAGUCUGUUUCUGCCUUUUCUCAAACUCCCUUCAGCUUAAAAUACUAAAUGUCAGUGUGCCAAAUGGUAAAUGUCCUGAACACCAUCAGUGUACUUUACUACAAUAAAAUAAGUGACAAAUCUGCAUUUUAGAAUUAUUGGAUGCUGGCAGUUGCCUAAAUGGGUGAGAUUUAGUCUGAUAAUUUCUAAUAAUUUUUGCUUAAUUGUAAUACAUUCUUGUGUGCACUAGUCAGAAGCUGAAAUAACAGCAUUUGGCAUGCAAAAAUAAGGAUCAUUAAAACUAUUUUAAAAG